UCUUUCUGUCAGUUUUAUAAAUCAGAGAAUAGGAUGCUGAAAAUCUCCUAGAACAUUUAAAACCUUGGCCCUCAACGAUUUGGCUGCUCAGGUCUAAUAAUCUCCCUGGUAAAAGCCUACCAUCAUGGGAGCUGAGCUAAGAGGGCAGCCUGUUCUUGAUUGAAAGCCCUCACCAGCCUCACCAACUUCAAAUGGUGGUUCUUCUUGAGAAUCUAUGCUCCAGAGCCAUGGAAUAAUCAAGCUGGGAAGGUGGAACCCUCUCCCCCUCAGUUAUGUGACAGAUGCACCCGACGCGACAGUGGCCGACAUGCUACAAGAUGUCUAUCAUGUUGUGACGUUGAAAAUCCAAUUACAAAGUUGUUCGAAGUUGGAAGACUUGCCUGCGGAGCAGUGGAACCAUGCCACAGUCCGCAAUGCCUUAAAGGAACUGCUCAAAGAGAUGAACCAGAGCACAUUAGCCAAAGAAUGCCCUCUCUCCCAGAGUAUGAUUUCAUCCAUUGUAAAUAGCACAUAUUAUGCCAAUGUGUCAGCAACCAAGUGCCAGGAGUUUGGGAGAUGGUAUAAAAAGUACAAGAAGAU
This 579-nucleotide small RNA is filed under the name Pan troglodytes (chimpanzee). RNAcentral's name for it is "processed transcript". The record is from RNAcentral. Lineage: Eukaryota; Metazoa; Chordata; Mammalia; Primates; Hominidae.